GGUCCCAUAGUUAAAUGGAUAUAACGGAGCUUUCCUAAAGCUUUGUUGCAGGUUCGAUUCCUGCUGGGACCACCA
RNAcentral lists this transfer RNA (75 nucleotides) under Deltaproteobacteria bacterium. RNAcentral's name for it is "tRNA-Arg". It matches the Rfam family "tRNA". From Rfam's summary of the family: Transfer RNA (tRNA) molecules are approximately 80 nucleotides in length. Their secondary structure includes four short double-helical elements and three loops (D, anti-codon, and T loops). Lineage: Bacteria; Pseudomonadati; Myxococcota; Myxococcia. RNAcentral also lists the same sequence under 1 other name. The record is from RNAcentral.